Molecule: ribosomal RNA, 357 nt
Filed under: Lactista punctata
Lineage: Eukaryota; Metazoa; Arthropoda; Insecta; Orthoptera; Acrididae
Description: partial 12S ribosomal RNA
Source: RNAcentral
UUUAAGUGUAAAUUUGAAUUUAUCUGGGUAGUAUUAGUUAAGGUCUUUAAACCCAAAGAAUUUGGCGGUAUUUCAUUCCAUUCAGAGGAACCUAUCUCGUAAUUGAUAGUACACGAUUUACUUUACUUAAUUUAUUUGUUUGUAUAUCUCCGUUAUCAGAAAAUCUUUUUGGAGUUAUAAUUUUCUUGUUUUUUCAUUAAGAAUUAUUUCAGGUCAAGGUGCAGCUUAUAAUUAAGUGUGUGAUGGGUUACAAUAGAUUUUUUUUAUAAUGGAUUUUAUAUUGAAAUAUUUAAAUGAAGGUGGAUUUGAUAGUAAUUUAAUUUAUUUAAUUUAAUUGAUAUUGGCUCUGAAAUGUGU